GGAGGGUCUAAGUGCGACUUCCUCUUUUCUGGGUCCCGCCUGCUGGCGCGGGAUCUCGGCCGGGUCGUCGGUUCUCGCGAGUUUCUUGUAGCCUUUGGUGCCGGGAGAUUCCUUUCAGAGCCAGACGCAAGAGCGGAGGCUUGGAUCUCUUUUCGAAAGGUCGGUGGCCGCACCGGGGGUGUGACGAGCCGUGGGACCCAGCUCUGAGGAAGAAGUAAAGCAUACCUGGGAGAUUCCAUGUCCAGUGGGGAACCCAAUGCAGGGCUUGAACUCAUGACUCUGAAAUCAAGGGUUGGACACUUAUACUGAACCACCCAGGCACCCUAAAGCUCAUGUCUUAAACAGAAGAGUUGUGAACAGAUGGAUGAGGGAUGACAUGUCAGUUUCUCAAUCUAAAGCGCUGGCUAAGACAACUAUGCUUCUCACCUUCCUUCAAUAACCUCAAAGCUGAGAGAGAGAGAGAGAGCGAGAGCGCACAAAAGUGCGCA
This is a long non-coding RNA of Neogale vison (American mink), 488 nucleotides long. RefSeq lists it as uncharacterized. NCBI's taxonomy places the organism in Eukaryota, Metazoa, Chordata, Mammalia, Carnivora, Mustelidae. The record is from RefSeq and is a predicted model, not a curated record. The transcript has 4 exons.